This 503-nucleotide ribosomal RNA is filed under the name uncultured bacterium. RNAcentral's name for it is "bacterial SSU rRNA". It matches the Rfam family "Bacterial small subunit ribosomal RNA", at positions 28 to 492 of the family's 1533-position model. The record is from RNAcentral.
GACGAACGCUGGCGGCGUGCCUAAUACAUGCAAGUCGAACGCACUCUCGUUAGAUUGAAGAAGCUUGCUUCUGAUUGAUAACAUUUGAGUGAGUGGCGGACGGGUGAGUAACACGUGGGUAACCUGCCCUAAAGUGGGGGAUAACAUUUGGAAACAGAUGCUAAUACCGCAUAAAACCUAGCACCGCAUGGUGCAAGGUUGAAAGAUGGUUUCGGCUAUCACUUUAGGAUGGACCCGCGGUGCAUUAGUUAGUUGGUGAGGUAAAGGCUCACCAAGACCGUGAUGCAUAGCCGACCUGAGAGGGUAAUCGGCCACACUGGGACUGAGACACGGCCCAGACUCCUACGGGAGGCAGCAGUAGGGAAUCUUCCACAAUGGACGAAAGUCUGAUGGAGCAACGCCGCGUGAGUGAAGAAGGUUUUCGGAUCGUAAAACUCUGUUGUUGGAGAAGAACGUAUUUGAUAGUAACUGAUCAGGUAGUGACGGUAUCCAACCAGAAAGCC